CUUGCUGGGGGAUUAGUGGCGAACGGGUGAGUAACACGUGAGUAACCUGCCCUUGACUCUGGGAUAAGCCUGGGAAACUGGGUCUAAUACCGGAUACGACCAUCUGGCGCAUGUCAUGGUGGUGGAAAGCUUUUGUGGUUUUGGAUGGACUCGCGGCCUAUCAGCUUGUUGGUGGGGUAAUGGCCUACCAAGGCGACGACGGGUAGCCGGCCUGAGAGGGUGACCGGCCACACUGGGACUGAGACACGGCCCAGACUCCUACGGGAGGCAGCAGUGGGGAAUAUUGCACAAUGGGCGCAAGCCUGAUGCAGCGACGCCGCGUGAGGGAUGACGGCCUUCGGGUUGUAAACCUCUUUCAGUAGGGAAGAAGCGUAAGUGACGGUACCUGCAGAAGAAGCGCCGGCUAACUACGUGCCAGCAGCCGCGGUAAUACGUAGGGCGCAAGCGUUAUCCGGAAUUAUUGGGCGUAAAGAGCUCGUAGGCGGUUUGUCGCGUCUGCUGUGAAAGACCGGGGCUCAACUCCGGUUCUGCAGUGGGUACGGGCAGACUAGAGUGCAGUAGGGGAGACUGGAAUUCCUGGUGUAGCGGUGAAAUGCGCAGAUAUCAGGAGGAACACCGAUGGCGAAGGCAGGUCUCUGGGCUGUAACUGACGCUGAGGAGCGAAAGCAUGGGGAGCGAACAGGAUUAGAUACCCUGGUAGUCCAUGCCGUAAACGUUGGGCACUAGGUGUGGGGGACAUUCCACGUUUUCCGCGCCGUAGCUAACGCAUUAAGUGCCCCGCCUGGGGAGUACGGCCGCAAGGCUAAAACUCAAAGGAAUUGACGGGGGCCCGCACAAGCGGCGGAGCAUGCGGAUUAAUUCGAUGCAACGCGAAGAACCUUACCAAGGCUUGACAUGAACCGGAAAGACCUGGAAACAGGUGCCCCGCUUGCGGUCGGUUU
Molecule: ribosomal RNA, 941 nt
Filed under: Paenarthrobacter sp.
Lineage: Bacteria; Bacillati; Actinomycetota; Actinomycetes; Micrococcales; Micrococcaceae
Description: bacterial SSU rRNA
Rfam family: Bacterial small subunit ribosomal RNA
Source: RNAcentral